This 2278-nucleotide ribosomal RNA is filed under the name Katagnymene terrestris FBCC-A195. RNAcentral describes it as "Katagnymene sp. FBCC-A195 partial miscellaneous RNA". The stretch from base 1 to 1474 matches the Rfam family "Bacterial small subunit ribosomal RNA". Lineage: Bacteria; Bacillati; Cyanobacteriota; Cyanophyceae; Gomontiellales; Gomontiellaceae. The record is from RNAcentral.
UGGCUCAGGAUGAACGCUGGCGGUCUGCUUAACACAUGCAAGUCGAACGGGUGUAGAAAUACAUUAGUGGCGGACGGGUGAGUAACGCGUGAGAAUCUGGCAACAGGUUCGGGACAACCACUGGAAACGGUGGCUAAUACCGGAUGUGCCUUAAAUGGUGAAAGAUUUAUCGCCUGUUGAUGAGCUCGCGUCUGAUUAGCUAGUAGGUGUGGUAAGAGCGCACCUAGGCGACGAUCAGUAGCUGGUCUGAGAGGAUGAUCAGCCACACUGGGACUGAGACACGGCCCAGACUCCUACGGGAGGCAGCAGUGGGGAAUUUUCCGCAAUGGGCGAAAGCCUGACGGAGCAAGACCGCGUGAGGGAGGAAGGCUCUUGGGUCGUAAACCUCUUUUCUGUGGGAAUAAUUAAGUGAAGGUACCACAGGAAUCAGCAUCGGCUAACUCCGUGCCAGCAGCCGCGGUAAUACGGAGGAUGCAAGCGUUAUCCGGAAUGAUUGGGCGUAAAGAGUCCGUAGGUGGUGAUUCAAGUCGAUUGUUAAAGAGCGGGGCUUAACCCCGUAAAAGCAGUGGAAACUGAAUCGCUAGAGAGAGGUAGGGGUAGAGGGAAUUCCCGGUGUAGCGGUGAAAUGCGUAGAGAUCGGGAAGAACACCAGUGGCGAAGGCGCUCUACUGGACCUCAUCUGACACUGAGGGACGAAAGCUAGGGGAGCGAAAGGGAUUAGAUACCCCUGUAGUCCUAGCCGUAAACGAUGGAUACUAGGUGUUGUCUGUAUCGACCCGGACAGUGCCGUAGCUAACGCGUUAAGUAUCCCGCCUGGGGAGUACGCACGCAAGUGUGAAACUCAAAGGAAUUGACGGGGGCCCGCACAAGCGGUGGAGUAUGUGGUUUAAUUCGAUGCAACGCGAACAACCUUACCAGGGCUUGACAUGUCUGGAAUCUUGGGGAAACCCGGGAGUGCCUUCGGGAGCCAGAACACAGGUGGUGCAUGGCUGUCGUCAGCUCGUGUCGUGAGAUGUUGGGUUAAGUCCCGCAACGAGCGCAACCCUCGUCCUAAGUUGCCAGCAUUCAGUUGGGCACUCUGAGGAGACUGCCGGUGACAAACCGGAGGAAGGUGGGGAUGACGUCAAGUCAGCAUGCCCCUUACGUCCUGGGCUACACACGUACUACAAUGCUACGGACAAAGGGCAGCCAACCAGCGAUGGUGAGCAAAUCCCAGAAACCGUGGCUCAGUUCAGAUUGCAGGCUGCAACUCGCCUGCAUGAAGGUGGAAUCGCUAGUAAUCGCCGGUCAGCAUACGGCGGUGAAUUCGUUCCCGGGCCUUGUACACACCGCCCGUCACACCAUGGGAGCUGGUCACGCCCGAAGUCGUUACCCUAACCUUUUUAGGAGGGGGAUGCCGAAGGCAGGGCUGGUGACUGGGGUGAAGUCGUAACAAGGUAGCCGUACCGGAAGGUGUGGCUGGAUCACCUCCUUUUAGGGAGACCAACCACAGUCAGGUGUGCAGUAUUAAUUACUCCCCGACUGUAGUCAUCCCAGGUCAUCGAGAUUAGUCUAUUAGCUUUCAAACUAUUGAUGGUUCGGUUCCAAAAUAUGGCAACACAUCUAGCAAUCUGACAAUCCGACAAUCACGAAAGUCAGCCUGCUGGAUUUAGUCCAGCAAGAACCUUGAAAACUGCAUAGCAACAAAAAAAGUAGGUAGUCAAAACUUACUACAAAGUGUGAAAGCACCAGUAGAAUGUAAUUGACAAAAAAAUAGUGGUCAAGAUAAUCAGGGCUGAUGGUGGAUACCUAGGCACACAGAGGCGAAGAAGGACGUGAUUACCGACGAAACGCUCCGGGGAGUUGGAAGUAAACAUUGAGCCGGAGAUGUCCGAAUGGGGCAACCCCAAGUACAGCCUGUUGAAUCCAUAGACAGGUAUGAGCCAACCCAGCGAAUUGAAACAUCUUAGUAGCUGGAGGAACAGAAAUCAAUAGAGAUUCCCUUAGUAGCGGCGAGCGAAGCGGGAACAGCCUAAACCACGAAGUAUAUCUUUGUGGGGUAGUGGGACAACAGAUACAAGACCAAAAAAGCUAGACGAAGCAGCCUGAUUGCUGCACCAGAGAAGGUGAAAGUCCUGUAGUUGAAAGUGGAUUUGGCUUAGUUGCAUCCCGAGUAGCACGGGUCACGAGAAAUCCCGUGUGAAUCAGCGAGGACCAUCUCGUAAGGCUAAAUACUCCUGUGUGACCGAUAGUGAACAAGUACCGCGAGGGAAAGGUGAAAAGAACCCCGCAAGGGGAG